AACGAACGCUGGCGGCAGGCUUAACACAUGCAAGUCGAACGCCCCGCAAGGGGAGUGGCGCACGGGUGAGUAACGCGUGGGAAUCAACCUUCUGGUACGGGACAACCUCGGGAAACUGAGGCUAAUACCGUAUAUCUCCUCAGGGAGAAAGAUUUAUCGCCAGAAGACGAGCCCGCGUCCGAUUAGCUAGUUGGUAGGGUAAUGGCCUACCAAGGCGACGAUCGGUAGCUGGUCUGAGAGGACGAUCAGCCACACUGGGACUGAGACACGGCCCAGACUCCUACGGGAGGCAGCAGUGGGGAAUAUUGGACAAUGGGUGCAAGCCUGAUCCAGCCAUGCCGCGUGCAGGAAGAAAGCCUUCUGGGUUGUAAACUGCUUUUGCCAGGGGAUAAAAACACUUUGCGAAGUGGAUUGAAGGUACCUGGUGAAUAAGCCACGGCUAACU
This 445-nucleotide ribosomal RNA is filed under the name uncultured bacterium. Its description in RNAcentral is "bacterial SSU rRNA". It matches the Rfam family "Bacterial small subunit ribosomal RNA", at positions 29 to 502 of the family's 1533-position model. The record is from RNAcentral.